This 506-nucleotide ribosomal RNA is filed under the name uncultured bacterium. Its description in RNAcentral is "partial 16S ribosomal RNA". It matches the Rfam family "Bacterial small subunit ribosomal RNA", at positions 28 to 523 of the family's 1533-position model. The record is from RNAcentral.
GAUGAACGCUAGCUACAGGCUUAACACAUGCAAGUCGAGGGGUAACGAGAGGAAAGCUUGCUUUCCUUGUCGACGACCGGCGCACGGGUGAGUAACGCGUAUCCAACCUGCCCCCAACUAGGGAAUAACCUUGCGAAAGUAAGACUAAUACCCUAUAAUUUCCUCAGAUGUCAUCUGACGAGGAAUAAAGAUUUAUCGGUUGUGGAUGGGGAUGCGUCUGAUUAGCUUGUUGGCGGGGUAACGGCCCACCAAGGCAACGAUCAGUAGGGGUUCUGAGAGGAAGGUCCCCCACAUUGGAACUGAGACACGGUCCAAACUCCUACUGGAGGCAGCAGUGAGGAAUAUUGGUCAAUGGGCGGAAGCCUGAACCAGCCAAGUAGCGUGCAGGAUGACGGCCCUAUGGGUUGUAAACUGCUUUUAUACAGGAAUAAAGUUAGCCACGUGUGGUUAUCUGUAGGUACUGUAUGAAUAAGGACCGGCUAAUUCCGUGCCAGCCGCCGCAGUAA